Molecule: ribosomal RNA, 429 nt
Filed under: Chloroflexota bacterium
Lineage: Bacteria; Bacillati; Chloroflexota
Description: Chloroflexi bacterium partial 16S ribosomal RNA
Rfam family: Bacterial small subunit ribosomal RNA
Source: RNAcentral
UGGGGAAUAUUGCACAAUGGGCGCAAGCCUGAUGCAGCCAUGCCGCGUGUGUGAAGAAGGCCUUCGGGUUGUAAAGCACUUUCAGCGGGGAGGAAGGCGUUAAGGUUAAUAACCUUGGCGAUUGACGUUACCCGCAGAAGAAGCACCGGCUAACUCCGUGCCAGCAGCCGCGGUAAUAUGGAGGGUGCAAGCGUUAAUCGGAAUUACUGGGCGUAAAGCGCACGCAGGCGGUCUGUCAAGUCGGAUGUGAAAUCCCCGGGCUCAACCUGGGAACUGCAUUCGAAACUGGCAGGCUAGAGUCUUGUAGAGGGGGGUAGAAUUCCAGGUGUAGCGGUGAAAUGCGUAGAGAUCUGGAGGAAUACCGGUGGCGAAGGCGGACCCCUGGACAAAGACUGACGCUCAGGUGCGAAAGCGUGGGGAGCAAACAGG